This 553-nucleotide ribosomal RNA is filed under the name uncultured bacterium. RNAcentral describes it as "partial 16S ribosomal RNA". It matches the Rfam family "Bacterial small subunit ribosomal RNA", at positions 355 to 899 of the family's 1533-position model. The record is from RNAcentral.
UGGGGAAUUUUGGACAAUGGGCGAAAGCCUGAUCCAGCAAUGCCGCGUGUGUGAAGAAGGCCUUCGGGUUGUAAAGCACUUUUGUCCAGAAAGAAAUCCUUGGCUCUAAUACAGUCGGGGGAUGACGGUACCGGAAGAAUAAGCACCGGCUAACUACGUGCCAGCAGCCGCGGUAAUACGUAGGGUGCAAGCGUUAAUCGGAAUUACUGGGCGUAAAGCGUGCGCAGGCGGUUUGCUAAGACCGAUGUGAAAUCCCCGGGCUCAACCUGGGAACUGCAUUGGUGACUGGCAGGCUAGAGUAUGGCAGAGGGGGGUAGAAUUCCACGUGUAGCAGGUGAAAUGCGUAGAGAUGUGGAGGAAUACCGAUGGCGAAGGCAGCCCCCUGGGCCAAUACUGAGCGCUCAUGCACGAAAGCGUGGGGAGCAAACAGGAUUAGAUACCCUGGUAGUCCACGCCCUAAACGAUGUCAACUAGUUGUUGGGGAUUCAUUUCCUUAGUAACGUAGCUAACGCGUGAAGUUGACCGCCUGGGGAGUACGGUCGCAAGAUUAAAA